Molecule: transfer RNA, 65 nt
Filed under: Taenia sp. MZH:127001
Lineage: Eukaryota; Metazoa; Platyhelminthes; Cestoda; Cyclophyllidea; Taeniidae
Description: tRNA-Tyr
Source: RNAcentral
UCUAGUUUAACAUAUUUUAUAAUGUGAGGGGUUGUAAACUCUUUUAAGACUGUUGUCAACUAGGA